CGUGUGACCUGUGCUGAACGCGCUGGACCCAUCGUAGCGUGACCUCGGCUCGGAUACUCUGUGACUGCCACACCCCUCGUGCCGGUGUGUGCGUGCUUAAGCACCAGCAUCAUCGUCACGUCGAGUCAUGCCAACUUUCUUCGAAAAACCCAAAUGGAAGUCUUUAACUUCUCGAUUAAAAAUGUCCUCGUGAUGUUUUCAUGAGCGAAUUCGUCAUGCCUGGUUGCGGCCGGACCGGCCUGGGAGCAGCAGCAGCAAGUGGCUGGACAACCGAUUGCCUACAUCAUUGCCUGGGCGUUCCACGGCGAUGGUGUCAUCCGCUGGCUGGCUGGCUACUAUACAGACGGCACACUGUUGAGCUCAUGUGUUGAUAAACACAACCCCAGGCCCGGCAAACGUCCCUUCGCGUCGCGUCGCCUCUUGUGCAUCGUGGAUCGUCAAACACCCGCAUACACACACAAACACACACACACAGGCUAGCACAAGCACCAAUGAUGCAUAGGCGAGUGAGCGAGGCCGAGCGAACGAACGCGCAGGCCUGCGAUUCGGCUCUGUGCAGCACGCGGCGCGGGAAGUUCGACACGAGAACAACGCCGACGUCGCUCGGUGGAUAGCAGUGCGCGGCGCCAUUCAAGUUUGUUCACUCGAGCCGUGCAGAAGUCAGUCGUGCGAGCCGUCGUGCCCUACCCACGUCCCACUUCCGGUGCAGUGUGUGCAGUAUCUCUAGUGCGUGCGCGCGUGUGUGUGUCGCAAUAUACAACCCUCGGCAGGCGCCACGAUCAAGAUCAACAGCCGGACGGACUGGUGCGACUGUGCGACUCUGUUUGUCCGACCCAUCUGCCCAGUCAUCGCCCAACAGCGAUUGAGUGCAGAGUCUGCCUCCAGAGUGGCUCUGGAGUGGUUGUGUUUCUGAUCAAAUGAGUAACGUGUAUCGGUAUCUGUCCGUCGGUGGUCCGGGCACAAUCGGCCAUCCGCUACCGGCAGUACCGGGCGAAAAAGUGUUCCAAAAAGAUGCGGUCCCCUACACCCCCGCCGCGCUGCCGAUGGACGAUCAACCGCUGCUGGAACCGGAGCCCAUCCCCGGAGUAGCUUGGUUCCAGUUCCGGGGUAACCGCCAAGCAUGGCGCAACGGUCUGCGGCUAAUGCAGCUGGUGCACAUCGUGGUAUCGCUGGCGUUCAGCCGGCCACAGCGCUACGAGGUGGGCCAAUGGGUGUCGCUGCUCGUCCUGUGCCAUGCGUUCGUCCUGUCCGUCCUGUUGCUGGUCGAUCAGCGCACCGGUGGACGCUUCGUGCGCCGGCACCUGCCCCGUCUGGACUGGUCGUCGAUCGAACUGCGGUAUACGGCCGGCGUGACGGUGCUCCUGUACGCGCUCUCCUACGCGCUCACGUUCGCCGACAAGGGCUAUCGUGCCGACGUCUGGUGUAAUUGGGUUUCGUUCGUCUUCACACUCAAGACGGCCCUGCUGUACGGUGCCGACACCUGGCUCCAGCUGCUGACCAUCUACGGUCCCGAGCACUAACCGCAGCGUAGCGCCACCAUCGCCGCGCGCCUAUUGCUUUUAUGGCUUGCUAUAAAAUCCAAACCAUGAAAAAAGCUCGCACCGGUGCGCACGUGUCCCGGAUAAACGGUUGCGCGCUUGUUUUCAUUUGAUUGGCCCUCUCUCCCCGGUCACCGGUAACGAUUGCUCUGUACUGUUUUUUGAUUGUGUGACGCAAAAUGACGCGGCAACCUGCGCGGAAAAGUUCGUUUCCAGCAAAAUAAAGAUGGAAGUGGUUAUGGCACAAGCAAAACAAAACCAAAAACUAGUCGCCUCAAUCUAGUGGAAGGUCGAUCCAUCUUUGUAACACACAGACACACAGGACGAAUGAGUGUUUGCUGUUGUUGUUUCGCUUUCCGAUGAGGGCGGGAUCUCCGCCAGGUGAGGGCGUAGGAACGAGACGUAGGCGGACGGCCAGACUAGACGGCGCCGCGCGACGCUAAACACGCUCAUGCUUGCUUCCCAAAAACAACAAAAAAAACUUCAUCAUCCAUAGUUUCGUUGUUCGUUGUGCUUGUGGCGCUGUGUGUGACCUGUGCUGAACGCGCUGGACCCAUCGUAGCGUGACCUCGGCUCGGAUACUCUGUGACUGCCACACCCCUCGUGCCGGUGUGUGCGUGCUUAAGCACCAGCAUUAUCGUCACGUCGAGUCAUGCCAACUUUCUUCGAAAAACCCAAAUGGAAGUCUUUAACUUCUCGAUUAAAAAUGUCCUCGUGAUGUUUUCAUGAGCGAAUUCGUCAUGCCUGGUUGCGGCCGGAGCAGCAGCAAGUGGCUGGACAACCGAUUGCCUACAUCAUUGCCUGGGCGUUCCACGGCGAUGGUGUCAUCCGCUGGCUGGCUGGCUACUAUACAGACGGCACACUGUUGAGCUCAUGUGUUGAUAAACACAACCCCAGGCCCGGCAAACGUCCCUUCGCGUCGCGUCGCCUCUUGUGCAUCGUCGAUCGUCAAACACCCGCAUACACACACAAACACACACACACAGGCUAGCACAAGCACCAAUGAUGCAUAGGCGAGUGAGCGAGGCCGAGCGAACGAACGCGCAGGCCUGCGAUUCGGCUCUGUGCAGCACGCGGCGCGGGAAGUUCGACACGAGAACAACGCCGACGUCGCUCGGUGGAUAGCAGUGCGCGGCGCCAUUCAAGUUUGUUCACUCGAGCCGUGCAGAAGUCAGUCGUGCGAGCCGUCGUGCCCUACCCACGUCCCACUUCCGGUGCAGUGUGUGCAGUAUCUCUAGUGCGUGCGCGCGUGUGUGUGUCGCAAUAUACAACCCUCGGCAGGCGCCACGAUCAAGAUCAACAGAAGUGCGUUUGCUGUAUACCGUGUUGCCAUAAAGUCCUCCGGGUGCCAUAAAAAGCUUGUUUACCCCGCUCGCCCGAUUCUCACGCGCGCGCUCCCUCUACCGGCCAAAAACAGGGGAAGAAGAAAACAAAAGACGAAACCGAAA
Molecule: RNA transcript, 2986 nt
Organism: Anopheles darlingi
Lineage: Eukaryota; Metazoa; Arthropoda; Insecta; Diptera; Culicidae
Exons: 4
Source: RefSeq, a predicted model, not a curated record